Molecule: ribosomal RNA, 179 nt
Filed under: Giardia duodenalis
Lineage: Eukaryota; Fornicata; Diplomonadida; Hexamitidae
Description: Giardia intestinalis partial small subunit ribosomal RNA
Source: RNAcentral
GACGCUCUCCCCAAGGACGAAGCCAUGCAUGCCCGCUCACCCGGGACGCGGCGGACGGCCUGUUCAGGACAACGGUUGCACCCCCCGCGGCGGUUCCCUGCUAGCCGGACACCGCUGGCAACCCAGGCGCCAAGAAUGCGCGCAAGGGCGGGCGCCCGCGGGCGAGCAGCGUGACGCAG